GCUGGCGGCGUGCUUAACACAUGCAAGUCUACGAGAAUAAGGUAGCAAUAUCUUUAGUAAAGUGGCGCACGGGUGAGUAACACGUAAGUAAUCUACCCUUAGAUUUGGAAUAACCCCGAGAAAUCGGGGCUAAUACCAAAUAAUGCAGCGGCAUCGCAUGAUGAUGUUGUUAAAGUCUAUAUGACGUCUAGGGAUGAGCUUGCGUCUGAUUAGCUAGUUGGUGAGGUAACAGCUCACCAAGGCUGCGAUCAGUAGCUGGUCUGAGAGGAUGAUCAGCCACACUGGAACUGAGACACGGUCCAGACUCCUACGGGAGGCAGCAGUGAGGAAUAUUGGGCAAUGCCCGAAAGGGUGACCCA
RNAcentral lists this ribosomal RNA (359 nucleotides) under uncultured bacterium. RNAcentral describes it as "bacterial SSU rRNA". It matches the Rfam family "Bacterial small subunit ribosomal RNA", at positions 35 to 390 of the family's 1533-position model. The record is from RNAcentral.